AUUGAGGGCUACACUUAGACUUGCAUCCUCAAAAAUUGGGAGGUGCAAAAAUUGAUAUUAAAGCCUUGCGAGGUUCCGAUUAGCAUUACGGGCAGUGAACGUUUAUCGGGACGUCACGGCGAUUGUCACGGGCUCGAGAGGAGUACCGGGUCAUGACGAAUGUGGUUAGAGAUGAUGGUGUGAUAAGGGACUUUGUCUCAAGUGGAGAGGAUGGUGAGUUAAACGAGAAUGUAGAAAUUGAUGAUGGAGGAUAGUUUAUUAUAAAUUAAGAAGUAAUAAAAGUAGAAUAAGGAAGAGAGGUUUUUUCUUGAGCAAAAGAUAAGGCAGGGUAGUUUAAACAAAAAAAUAAAGCUUAUUAAAGAAAAGAAGGGCAAUGCAAAAGAGCAAAACAAUAACUCCAAAGGUAGGCUCGACUAGCAAUGGGAGAAUAAGAGUUAAGAAAUAGGCCAAGAAAGAUUUGGAAGUGCAUAAUACAGAGUAAAACCUUUUGGGUUUAGACUCAGCCUAAAUGUGGAUGUUAGGAAAAGGAACUCAGUCAUUAAGAGAGAAGUAGAAGCAAUAUGGGAGUUGACAAAGAGAUUGGGUUUAAGCUUUUAUGAAAAUAAAGAAAAUGUGAUCCAAAAGAUAGUUGAGCUAAAGGUGGUGGACAAAGGUGUCGAGUUGCAAGCAACUUUGGAUUGAGCCAAUUAGUUAAGGAAGGAUUGUAUGGACAAAGGGAAAGGGAAUGGUUUCCAUAUGGCAAGUUAAGUAAUGCGUUCUAGCAAAGCUUGUUGUUUUGUCGUUGAUUUAGCUUAUCAUAUGUAUUGGUUUAAUUUUGAUGUUGUGCCGCUAGGACAGUAUUUGAUAUGUGUAGGUAUUUUAGACUAGGAUCCAACUGCCAAUAAUUUUAGAUGUGGUUGAGUCCUAGUUGUUAUGUAUAGUUCUAUCUACUUGGAGUCUGAAUGCCAUAAGACAUAUCAAGUUUAAGAA
This is a non-coding RNA of Theobroma cacao (cacao), 969 nucleotides long. The record is from RefSeq and is a predicted model, not a curated record. Lineage: Eukaryota; Viridiplantae; Streptophyta; Magnoliopsida; Malvales; Malvaceae.